This is an RNA transcript of Fragaria vesca subsp. vesca, 872 nucleotides long. RefSeq lists it as uncharacterized. The record is from RefSeq and is a predicted model, not a curated record. The transcript has 2 exons. Lineage: Eukaryota; Viridiplantae; Streptophyta; Magnoliopsida; Rosales; Rosaceae.
ACUCUAGGAGGUUGUACAUAAUAAAUACUCGCCCAAUCAGAAUUAAUACUAGUAUCUAGAAUUCUAUAUAUCAAAUGAAGUACUGCUGGUUCUUUAAUAUUGCAGCUGCAAGUUCCACACCUUGUAACUAGGUAGCUUGACAAUCACAUAAUUCACAAGGGAAUGGGAAGAGGCAGAACUUGAGGAUGAUAUAGCAUUUGGAGGGCUGGAAAGGGUGGACAACCAUUUGAGUGAAACUGGGACUAGCAGGCUUAAGUUUUGUUCUUUCCCCAAACCAAUAUUCUUUUACUCAAAAUGAAGUGGGGAAGUAUGAAGCAUAUAUAACCUCCAUCCAGACUGUGAUUGACUAUUAGGUAUCCAUUAGGGUGUUGCACCAAGAGGUAAACCAUGCUUAGUUUUGACCACCCCAGUGAGCUAGUUGAUGAAAUUGAUCACUUCUGAAAUUUAUAUCUACCAGCAAAAUUGCAUGUUAAUGUGAAUCAGAACCAAGUUGGAAAUUGGGAUAUGGUGUCGGCUGUGAGGAGCAAUAAUGUUUAUUGUUGUUGGUGCUUGAAAACAACAAGCAUAGUGAAUGAGAAGAGAAUCUGGAAAAGCAAAGAUUACAGAAUGACUUCGCUUUUCUGUUACUGAUGUGUUUGGGGGAUUCAGGGAAACCAAAACCUGCUAUAUCAUCAGUUGGAUAGUAGCUGAAUUUUAAAACAUAGAGAGGGAGAUGUCAGGGGGAUAAACAGAUGAAGUGAUGAUAUAUGAAGCACCAACAACAUAAAAGCUGGGAUGAUGUAAUAUGUAUGGCAUGAAUUCUUGGUAUAGAGCUGUGGUUUGUUGGGAUAGAACAAGUUUAUUAUUUUUAAAUCAAUAAAAAUGAAUUGUAG